CCUACGGGAGGCAGCAGUGAGGAAUAUUGGUCAAUGGACGCAAGGCUGAACCAGCCAUGCCGCGUGCAGGACGAAGGCGCUAUGAGUUGUAAACUGCUUUUGUACGAGGACAAAAGCAGAUACGCGUAUCUGUCUGAGAGUACCGUACGAAUAAGGAUCGGCUAACUCCGUGCCAGCAGCCGCGGUAAUACGGAGGAUUCAAGCGUUAUCCGGAUUUAUUGGGUUUAAAGGGUGCGUAGGCGGUCCGGUAAGUUAGAGGUGAAAUCCCGGGGCUCAACUUCGGACUUGCGUCUGAUACUGGUCGGCUAGAGAGUAGGUGCGGUAGGCGGAAUGUACGGUGUAGCGGUGAAAUGCUUAGAGAU
RNAcentral lists this ribosomal RNA (362 nucleotides) under uncultured bacterium. Its description in RNAcentral is "partial 16S ribosomal RNA". It matches the Rfam family "Bacterial small subunit ribosomal RNA", at positions 338 to 697 of the family's 1533-position model. The record is from RNAcentral.